RNAcentral lists this ribosomal RNA (411 nucleotides) under uncultured bacterium. Its description in RNAcentral is "bacterial SSU rRNA". It matches the Rfam family "Bacterial small subunit ribosomal RNA", at positions 29 to 454 of the family's 1533-position model. The record is from RNAcentral.
AUUGAACGCUGGCGGCAUGCUUUACACAUGCAAGUCAAACGGUAACAGGCCUUCGGGUGCUGACGAGUGGCGAACGGGUGAGUAAUACAUCGGAACGUGCCCAAUCGUGGGGGAUAACGCAGCGAAAGUUGCGCUAAUACCGCAUACGCCCUGAGGGGGAAAGCGGGGGACCGCAAGGCCUCGCGCGAAUGGAGCGGCCGAUGUCAGAUUAGCUAGUUGGUGGGGUAAAGGCUCACCAAGGCGACGAUCUGUAGCGGGUCUGAGAGGAUGAUCCGCCACACUGGGACUGAGACACGGCCCAGACUCCUACGGGAGGCAGCAGUGGGGAAUUUUGGACAAUGGGCGCAAGCCUGACUCACGCAUCGCCGCGUGGCCGGGAACGGAACGGUCCGUUCGGGUUACGGUAACCGU